UUUGUAUCCUUUCAGAACAAAAAUUGUAUUAUAGCAUUAGCUUCAUAAAUCUGUCUCAAGAAACUGGCCUUCUGAGGCUUGUAACAAUUCCUACUGGCUGUUUAUGAGCCAACUGAAAGAGGAUUGAUCGAGACAACUGUGUUUUAGAUUUCUGUGUCGGAACCAUUUUGUCUUGUCAUACCGUGAGCGGUUUGGUCUUGUUUCUCUAUUCCUGCCUGGGCUUGCUUGCCUUCCCUGAACAACUGCUUCCUGUGUGAGCUAGCAGCAGCUAGUACCACACUCAGAAAGAACCUAAUGAUUUAGAGGCUUCCUCCCUUUCACAGCUUGAAUUCCACAAUAAAAUGCUUUAGUAGCUUUUACUUGGGAGAUUCGUCUAAAAACUAUAAAGGCGGUCGCUUUUAAAAUGAUCUUGUAUCGUCCGAUGAUUUCAUUUUUUUCAAGCUAACUUCACCAUUUACAGAGCAUUGUACGGUGUUAUUGUUUUCAUCUUGCCUGACUAGUUUCAGUAUUACGCCAACCCAACAGAGUGGCCGGAUCAUAGACAUCUGUUAUUUUAUUACAGGAAACCUAAAAGGCAGUAAAUAGGAUUUCUAAAAACAACACGAAGGCCAGCCUAUACUUUACUCAGUCAGGACUAUUGGAAAUGGAAACCAAAGGAUGGCCUUGAGAAUAACAAUAAGAGCAACUGUCAAAGGUGAAUAGAAGGCUUUAUCCUGUUCCGAAUCCUCUUUUCCUGUCAGCUGCCCCCCUAGCCCCAGUCCACUCGUCCUGUUUCAGUAUUUUACUUAAAACCCAUGCUGAGUACUGUAGACAUGGCUUAGAUAACCUACCUAGGUUUUAAUAAUGUAUAACAGGUAAAGGUUUAGAAAUAAUAAAUAUAACCACACAGACACCUUAACUGAUGACCUUAUUGAGAACCCAAAUAACCACUGGAUUAGUCUGAUAAUAUCAAGAGAACAAUAGUGCAUUCAGUCCAAAUGUAUAGCCUGUUAAAUCUAUUAGCUAAGUUAUAGAGAGCAGAGCUCAUUAUGUUUCUAAUUAGCUGCAAAGCCUGUAGCCAUUUAUAAGCAGUUUGCCUUCACUCAAAGCACGUUCCUUUUCAUUUCAUUUCAUCUGUGCAGAAUAGAUUGGCUAGACCUUAUUAAUACAAACCCCACGGUAUUAUUCAAUUGAGUUUUUCUAUCAUUUGCUCAUUGUAUUCUAUGUCACAGAUCAAGAAAAUCACUGUCAGCUGCUUUUGCACACUUCUCUUUUGGGGGCACAGUCUUACAAGCGCUACAUAGACCAGCUCAUGGUUAAUGGAAGACAUAGGAGUAAAAUGUGACUUUUGUACUGGCUCUGAAGAGACGUCGCAUUGUGGUCUUGCUAUGCCAUCUUUUCCGGGCAACAGUGAAGACAGAGCUGGGGUGGAGACAAAGUGUGCAUGUCACUUCCUUUGGCACAGGAAAUGGAGAAAUAAAAAAUACAGAAUGUGGCGGACACAGUAGCAAAUUUAAAUAAAUACUAAUCAGUGAUAAGCCUUUCCUCCAAUUGACUAAUGUCCAGCUGGUGUAAAGCCAACCUCUGAUCCUAUUCUUUAAGGAAACAACUGAUACUGUACCUGAACUGCUGUAUUCAUACCUCCCCCAUCCCUCCCUCAACAUAGCAGUGGUAGUAAAAAUCUCAAUGCAUCAGAUUACUACCUUUACAGCCCUCUCCUUCCCAAACCUUCUAAAUUUUAAGAGAGAAGUUUGUGUGUGUGUGUGUAUGCGUGAGAGAGGGAGACAGAAGAAUGACACAACACCAGAGGCAAGCGUUCUAUAAAUACAUCUCGAGAGAUUACAAGUGCGUUUUCCAUGAAAAUGAGUGGCAGAGCAACAUGAUCACACAGGCGUCAGGACCCCUGUUGGCUGCAGCCUGGUAGCCUCUGGGUGCCAAUGUGUUAAUUGGUCAAUUUGAAUUCUAAUCUUCUAGCAGCCUGACUAGCUGCCUUGCCCUGGGAGCAUGUUGUUGUACCAUAUUAAAAGGUAUUAAAGGGAUUCUUCAUAUUAUCACCAUGUUCUUAAUAUUAUAUUUCCUACCUGUGAAAUACUGUAGUUUCUAAUACAGUUAACACAUUUUUAUUGAGCACUGUAUCUUCAUCCUGGAGAACACAGAAUUGUGCUUUAAUUACAUUCACUCAAUUUAAGUUAACAUCAUCACAGCGGCCAUUUAAAAAAAAAAAAAAAAAAGAAUCAAAACAAAAUUGUACAUGUUUUCUAAAACUAUUGUGAACCCCCUCCUCCAAGUAAGGAGCCAAGAACAACAGAAUAUGUGAUGUGUAAUGAAAUAAAAUGCCCAAACCAGGCACUCUGGCAAUAAACAUUCUUACAGAAUUAGAGUAUGACAUCAUCGGAAAACAGAACUCAAGGCAUAUUCUGUUUAUUGUUGCUGAACAGAGUUUAAAAUGGCAGUUUCAUGGAACGUGUGGUUUGCUGUAGCAGUGCAUACUGGGAUACUAAACCAUUUCCAGAACCAUCUCUGUCAGCUUUUUGAGAAAAUAUAUGACGCAAGAAUGGAUGCGCUUAACAGUACGACUGUGGCGGGGUACACCCGCCCCUGUGAGUGUUUUCUUUGUUUUGCAUUUGUGUCGUGUUAUUAUUAUGGAAAUGUAUGUUAUGGUUGCACUGUUGUUUUAGGUCGGCAGGGAAGGGUUAAUUACCUUGCCUGCCAAAUCACUUCACGUGUCGAAUGUGCCUGAGCUCGAUUGAAUUAUUAACAAGCAAUCGAGCUCAGGCACAGACGUAUAAAAGAGCAGAUCAGCCGAUAAUAAUGGGGUUGAGUGUUCAGAGUGGAGAACGUGAGACAGACAGUAAGAUUUGUAAAAGUAAACAACUACUACUCAUGCUGGCUUUAAACCAACACGAUACUUGUUUGUUCAGUGUCUGUUUUAUCUGUCUGUUUUGGCCAUUUAUUUUGUAUUAAGUGUUUUGUUUAAACAUUUUAUUUAAUAAAUACUCGCACCAGCGCUUCACA
Long non-coding RNA from Acipenser ruthenus (sterlet), 2994 nucleotides. RefSeq lists it as uncharacterized. The transcript has 2 exons. The record is from RefSeq and is a predicted model, not a curated record. NCBI's taxonomy places the organism in Eukaryota, Metazoa, Chordata, Actinopteri, Acipenseriformes, Acipenseridae.